CAUUCGCAUACGGCACCCUCACCGCAUGGACCACAUCUGUAGAGCGCCACGUACACACCGUUGUUGCCGCGUCUUGAGAAGAAAAAGCAAAGAAGGGAAAGAGCAAGCGUGAUAGAACAAGCGCGCCUUCUCCCAGUUGCCUGCCCAAUCGCUUUCCUGCCACCGUCGUCGUCGUCGGCGGUGGCAUGCGGCACAAUAGAAAACGCGAGAGAGUGGCUGCCGAUGAGGCCGAGAACGUCGGGCCAGGCAACACUGCUGCGAAGCGAAUGCCUGUGGCCGCCGCAGCCUCGUCUUACUCUUCCCCUGCCUCGCAUAUCCCGAUGCAUUCGCGGGUGGUUAACGUGGCAUCGGAUAAGAGCAGUGGCAAGAAGGCUUCGUCACCUUAUUCUCCGGUGACGGCACCAAGAGCUUCUUAUGAUGCCACUGCUGCCCAAGCGGUGCAGCGGCCCCACUACGCAAACAACACGACGACCCAUGCCGCCGCGGCCUUGUCGCUGGACGGCAUCGCUAACGCUUCCGUGCGCAGUAGCGAUUCAGCAGAGUCGGCAUCCUCGACCGCGGCCCGCGCACCGCUGAGGCGCGGCCGGCCUCAGCAGCCGCUUCGGCCGCCUCUGUCACGUUCCCUCAUGCCGAACACGCCUCGGAGCGCGGCGCCACUGCCAGGGAGAGGGCGUGGCGCUGCUGGCCUUCGCUCUCGCGUAGAUCAUGCCGCCACAGGCGCGAGCUCUCCCGCUACGGCGGGUGCCAAAGGCGGCAACGCUGCCUCGCCGACAGACGCAUCUCCCAGUGACUCCGAGAGACAGCUUUGGGACACGUGGCGGGAAAAGCGCGAACAGCUCGAGCGAGAGGUGCAGAUACUGACGCAGUACUCGCAUAAGCUCGCGGAGGAGACGCAGGCGGUCCAGGACGCUAUUGAAGGCAUGCUCACCGAGUUCGAAGGCGAGAGGCAGCGUGUAGAGGCACGCCACGGUGCCACAGUGGCGCGCUACCAAGGCUUCAUGGAUGCCCUGCGCGCACGCGAGGAGGCUUGUCUGGCAGCGAAGCAGCGAGCGCUGGAUCGCAUCCGCACUUCUCGAGAGACUGUGAGUCAACUUCAACGCGAGCAGGAGGCAACGCAGGAUGCCAUCAUUUUGGCGACAGACGGGCGCGAUCGGCUGGAGCAGGAGCUGGCCAGCGCGAAGAGCACGGCGGCGGAACGCGCGAUAACCCUUGAGCACCUGCAGCAAGAGGAGGAUCGCAUGAAGGAUGCCACCUAUGGCCUUAGCGGGGAGGUGAAGGAGUUGGUGCUGGAGAUGGAGCGACUCCGCAAGGAGAAGCACCGCAUCGAUGUGCAGUCGAUGGAGAGCGAGGUGGCCCGGCGAGAGCUGUACUCGCUUUGCGAGGAGCUGAAAGGCUCUAUUCGUGUCUACUGCCGUGUGAAGGGCUCUGCCCUGCCAGUGGCGUCGCAACUGCCAAGCGACGAAACCGCAUGCGACGUGGCGCCGGCGCUGCAGGCCGUUCGCUCGUCAAAGCCAGACGAUAUUUGCACCUGCGUGGGAGAGGGCGCUGCGGCUACUGUGGUCGCGCCUGUCGCCAUGCCCCCCGUCAGCCGGCUGCCCAGCCGCAGUGGAUCGAUGGGGUCGACUCUUUCAGCCGGCAUGCUGGCGGUCGCGAGUACUCCCACGAGCACCGCAGGGGCUGCCGUGGCAAAAACAGACGCCCGGCGCAAUGUCGGUGGGGGUGGGUUGCGUAGCGGCUGCUCCACGACAAGGUCAAGCAUGGCCACGACGAGUGUGAUGGGGGACGGUGAGGCCGACGCCACUGCCGACGAAGGAGCAGCACCCGUCUUUUCCUUCCCGGAUCGCGGGGACGCAGAUGACAUCAGCGACACUAACCGGAGGGCGGAGCAGGGCGGGCUCUUGCGAGUGCGUGGGGCAGCGCCGACGGCAACGGCAGGCAGUGCCGCGGCAGCCUCCGCCCAUGCCGUGAUGCCGCUCCUCUACCCUUCGACAGCGCAGGGCUCGAGAGAGGAGGAGGCGCAUCUUCCCGUGGGUGCUGCUGCUGAUGCGUUACAUCUGCCGUACAGUUGCGGGCGUUCCAUCACAAUCCACCAGACGCGCUCCAACGCCACUUCGACAGGCCUCAGCAGCUUCGCGGAGACCUUCACCUACGACAAGGUUUUCACUGGCGACGCGCGGCAGGAGGAGGUGUACCGCGAUGUCGAGCCACUCGUGCGCAACGCCGUUGACGGCUACCGUGUGUGCAUCUUCGCGUAUGGGCAAACAGGCAGCGGCAAGACCUUCACCAUGGAGGGCGACGUGCGAGGCAGGCCGGAGAUGUACGGCGUCACUCCACGCGCUCUUCAGACGAUACUGCAGCGGCAAGCCGAGCUCGCCAACGAGGGCUGGAGCCAUGAGCUGUCUUGCACGUUUAUCGAAAUCUACAACGAUGUCAUCCGCGACCUGUUUCAAAGUGGGUCGGCGCGAUACGAGGUGAUGCUGCAGCAGCAGCACACAGCUCCGACAGCGUCCUCCUCCGCUGCUGUGUACCACACGAUCAAGCACAGUGGAGACCGCACGCACAUCACCAAUGUGAUAGAGCGAAAUAUACGUAGCAUGGAGGAGUUCCUGCAGCUCUACAAGCAGGCGGUGCUGCAGCGAAGUACCGCCAAGACAGAUCUCAACGAUGUCUCCUCGCGCUCGCACUGCAUCUUCACGCUGUACAUUUCCGGCACAAACGCCACGAUUCGCCAACGCAGCGACGGGGUGCUCUGCCUAGUCGACCUCGCAGGCAGCGAGCGCGUCAACGAUAGCGGUGUGCAGGGCAAGCAAUUCAAGGAGGCGGUGAACAUCAACCGCUCGCUGUUGGACCUCGGCAAGUGUAUCCGCGCUCUGCGCUGCGGGGCGGUGGUGCCGUGGCGUAACUGCAAGCUCACGUAUCUCCUCCAGAACUACCUCGGCGCGAAAGGCGGGAAGAUGCUGAUGAUCGUGACGGUUUCCAAUGCAAAGGCGCACGCGCUGGAGAGCUUGAACUCGCUGCGGUUUGCGGCACGGGUACAGGAAACAUACGUUGGCACGUCUGUGAAGCGCGUGACGAGUAUUUAGGCAGCACCUCUCCCCCUCAACUCUGCUGCGCCAUCCCGCUCGAGGGACGGAGAAGCGUGCGCGCGCGUGCGUUCUCCUCUCUUCUUCAGCCCCUCCCUCUACCGCACUUGUCGUUCCCUUUUUUGUUAGAUCCCUCCUAUAUAUUAACUUAUCUUCUUCCUCCUCGCCAGUGCGUCGCUGCGGGAGCGACGCCGCGCAUCUGCUGCUCGCAGCAGAUAACUCUGCAUCUCACGCGCUCCUCCCUGUGCUAAUGUCUCGCGAAUCCCUCCUGGAGGUGAGCGGCAGACUGGGACAGUGAAGGAGGUACGCGUAAGACGCACGCCGGUGCUGCGGCGUGCACGGUUUCGUGCGUGCACCUCUGCAUCCCGUCUUGUCCGUCUCCUCCCUCUGUGAUGAUGAUGCUCGGUUUCUUCCAUCCACUCGCACUCGCUCACAACACGGCGGUUUGCUGUUGAGGGUGUGGCUGGCCACCCCGACAUCUUUCACCGCCCUUGUCUGCCAUUAUGGGGAUCGCUGCACCGGCGACCGAUUCAAUCGUUCACACAUAG
Molecule: unclassified non-coding RNA, 3631 nt
Filed under: Leishmania donovani
Lineage: Eukaryota; Euglenozoa; Kinetoplastea; Trypanosomatida; Trypanosomatidae
Description: gene:LdHU3.28.2580(CDS-product:C-inal_motor_kines in_putative)
Source: RNAcentral